RNAcentral lists this ribosomal RNA (126 nucleotides) under uncultured Lactobacillus sp. RNAcentral describes it as "partial 16S ribosomal RNA". It matches the Rfam family "Bacterial small subunit ribosomal RNA", at positions 405 to 524 of the family's 1533-position model. The record is from RNAcentral. Lineage: Bacteria; Bacillati; Bacillota; Bacilli; Lactobacillales; Lactobacillaceae.
GUGAGAAGGGUUUCGGCUCGUAAAACUCUGUUGUUAAAGAAGAACAUAUCUGAGAGUAACUGUUCAGGUAUUGACGGUAUUUAACCAGAAAGCCACGGCUAACUACGUGCCAGCAGCCGCGGUAAU